CCAGACUGAAAAUGACCCCAGGUGUAUCAGUGAUCUGGGGCCAGAUAGCUGUGCAUACAGUAUUGUGGUGCAUUAAGCUUAUUGUGUAAGUCUGUUACUGACUACGUGAUAAAACCCAUGUACCAACAUAG
RNAcentral lists this small nucleolar RNA (131 nucleotides) under Mastacembelus armatus (zig-zag eel). RNAcentral's name for it is "Small nucleolar RNA ACA64 (ENSMAMG00000008973.2)". It matches the Rfam family "Small nucleolar RNA ACA64". Lineage: Eukaryota; Metazoa; Chordata; Actinopteri; Synbranchiformes; Mastacembelidae. The record is from Rfam by way of RNAcentral.